Molecule: transfer-messenger RNA, 358 nt
Filed under: Vicinamibacteria
Lineage: Bacteria; Pseudomonadati; Acidobacteriota
Also listed under: 2 other names
Description: AA32 sp003223555 Standard tmRNA
Rfam family: transfer-messenger RNA
About the family: Bacterial tmRNA, also known as 10Sa RNA or SsrA, is named for its dual tRNA and mRNA-like properties. Its role is to liberate the mRNA from a stalled ribosome.
Source: RNAcentral
GGGGGCGUCACGGUUUCGACGGGAACGUGACCCCGAGAGAGGCAAGCCGAGCGUGGCUCCCGGCUCGUAAAUCCGGGGGUAAAACCAUAGCUGCCAACGAUAACUUGGCGCUGGCUGCCUAACUAGCUUAGGCAACCCGUCCUGCCGGUUGCCCGCUCACGGCGGCUGGACAGGACGUCACUGAGGUGAGCUGGCCCUGGCCCUCGGUCCGGGGGCGAAAGGCGAGACCAAUCGGACUAGCUGUCGCCGGUUUCGUCCGGUCUUCACGGCGGCCGCGAAAAUGCAGGCUGGACUAAGCUUGUAGGCUCUCUCGUCGGCGCUUUUUCGGACGCGGGUUCGACUCCCGCCGCCUCCACCA